Molecule: ribosomal RNA, 739 nt
Filed under: uncultured Cellulophaga sp.
Lineage: Bacteria; Pseudomonadati; Bacteroidota; Flavobacteriia; Flavobacteriales; Flavobacteriaceae
Description: bacterial SSU rRNA
Rfam family: Bacterial small subunit ribosomal RNA
Source: RNAcentral
GUAACAGGGAGCUUGCUCUGCUGACGACCGGCGCACGGGUGCGUAACGCGUAUACAAUCUGCCUUACACUAAGGGAUAGCCCAGAGAAAUUUGGAUUAAUACCUUAUAGUUUAUUAGAAUGGCAUCAUUUUAAUAAUAAAGAUUACGGUGUAAGAUGAGUAUGCGUCCCAUUAGUUUGUUGGUAAGGUAACGGCUUACCAAGACUACGAUGGGUAGGGGCCCUGAGAGGGGGAUCCCCCACACUGGUAUUGAGACACGGACCAGACUCCUACGGGAGGCAGCAGUGAGGAAUAUUGGACAAUGGGCGAGAGCCUGAUCCAGCCAUGCCGCGUGCAGGAAGACGGUCCUAUGGAUUGUAAACUGCUUUUAUACAGGAAGAAUAAGGACUACGUGUAGUCUGGUGACGGUACUGUAAGAAUAAGGACCGGCUAACUCCGUGCCAGCAGCCGCGGUAAUACGGAGGGUCCGAGCGUUAUCCGGAAUUAUUGGGUUUAAAGGGUCCGUAGGCGGGCUAUUAAGUCAGGGGUGAAAGUUUGCAGCUCAACUGUAGAAUUGCCUUUGAUACUGAUAGUCUUGAAUUAUUGUGAAGUGGUUAGAAUAUGUAGUGUAGCGGUGAAAUGCAUAGAUAUUACAUAGAAUACCGAUUGCGAAGGCAGAUCACUAACAAUAUAUUGACGCUGAUGGACGAAAGCGUGGGUAGCGAACAGGAUUAGAUACCCUGGUAGUCCACGCCGUAAAC